RNAcentral lists this long non-coding RNA (10522 nucleotides) under Solanum tuberosum (potato). RNAcentral's name for it is "long non-coding RNA (STUB_LNC006170)". Lineage: Eukaryota; Viridiplantae; Streptophyta; Magnoliopsida; Solanales; Solanaceae. The record is from RNAcentral.
CUCACAAGGCGAAAACCACAACACAAGUUAUUCAACAUUUCUUCUUGUUGCUGCAUCAAUAAAACGCAAAAUAUCUGUGGUUUCAAACAUAUUGCUACAUGAGAGGAUAAAACGGACAAGGUUAAUCGUUUUAUGGGAAAUUAAAAAGGUUUCAAACAUAUUUAAGGAUUGAAAAAUAUGUACUGUUUUAAGUUGUAAUUUGUUAUGCUUUGACUAGCUGCAGCAGAAUCCAAAUUUAAAUAAUCAGCUUGAAGUCAUUUGACCAAAUUUGAAAGUUGGGUAUAGAUGUUGAUUUUUGGGGGCACGAAUGGAUUAAUCAUGGAUAUUGUACUCGACACAUAAUUCCCUUGAUUCAGUACUUUGAAGCAGCGGUAAGGCUCUCCACGAUGACGAUUAAUCUGAUUGACUACAUGAACACAGGAGGAGUACAUCCAUCAAAUUACAUACCAUAUUCGGAGUCUCACAUAAGACAUGCUUUUUCUAAUCUGGUUGGACCUAACAUUAAUGUAUACCUCUCGUGUAUGGUUAAUAGCACCAGACAUGUGCUUCUCAAAGAGGUGUAACUUUGUUUGGAUCGAGGAGUGACACAUUUCAUUACAUGUUCGGGGCUAAUUAAAAAUAAACCUUGUGAGGUGAAUAAAAAUAUAUUUCUUCCCGUUUUUAGCUUACUAGCUAGUGUAAUAUUGUACGCGUGUAUCACGUAUGAAAAAAAAUACAACUAUGAUAUAUUUUAUGUAUUAAACAAUUUCACUUUAAGCCUAACGUUACAAGCGUAAUUGCAACUUUGUUUUCUUGGUGUAGAAUUUUACUACUUUUGAAUUUGUAGUCGCGGAAGUGUUAUAAUUCUUGUGGUUAAAUUAUAUUGUGGACUGAAAUAUAAUUCUCUCUUGUAAUUCUCCGUUACAAGAAUAUACCAUUUAAGACUUUAAUUAACAAUAAGGUAUAUAUACUCCUUUUUAUUUACAAAAUUAUGUUUUUAAUUACAAACAUGACAUAAUAUUUAAUUUUUGAUAAAUUUAAAAAAAAAAAUUAAUAUUCGAUUUAUUUCCUUUUUUGGGGUUAUGUGCUAAAAUUAUGGGAUUGACAAUUAUUGUUUACCUUUUGGUUUUCCAAGCAUAAUUUUACUCUUUUAUAUUAUUAUUUUUACCCAUAUCUUGAAUUUUUCAUUUUUUUUUUGUAUAUUUUAGUAUACAAUUUAUUUUCUAAUUUUGGGAAUUAUGUGGUAAAUUUAUGGUAUUGAUAAUUAUUGUUUACUUUUUGGCUUUUCAACCAUAACUCUGUUUUAGAUUGUUUUUUUGUCCAUAUAUUGAAUUUUAGAUUAUUAUUAUUUUGUAUAUUUUAGUAUCCGAUUUAUUUCCUAUUUUUGGGGAUAUGUUCUAAAUUUAUGGAAUUGAUAAUUAUUGUUUACUUUUUUGACUUUCCAACCAUAAUUAUACUAUUUAUUAAUUGUAGUCUUCUCUGACCUCUUUAAAAUUGUUUUCAUACUGACAAAUUAUUUUUUCUGAAAUUCUAAAAUUUAUCUACGUUGUUUUUUUUGACAAAAUAUUUUAUUUUUUUAUGGCAUGACUUAAAUAACCAUUUAAAUCUAGAAAGUUUAAUAAAGUAAUUAAAACUUACAUGUUAUAUAGAUUUUCAUACAACUUUGGUGGUAAGUCUUAUAUAAUAUGUUAAAUUAUAUGACACCUCAAUAUAUACCAUAUAAUAUAUCAAAUUUGUGUAAACAAAAUAUAUGUACCAUAUAAUAUAUCAAUAUUGUAUCAUCUAAAACUCCAAGUUAUACCAAUAUUUAAUCAUCUAAAAUAUCAAAAUUAUAUCAACAAUGUAUCAUCUAACAUACCAAAAUUAUAUCAGUAUUGUAUUAUGUGAAAUACAAAUAUUAUAGUAGCAUCUGCACCAUUUAAUAAAUUGAACUUGUUGAUAUUUUUUGUCAUUAUUUUUUUCUCAAAUUGUCAGUUUAUAACAUAACGAAAAUUAUUAUUUUGAUAACAUUAUCUUUUAAAAUUAACACUAGUAUAGACUUGAGUGUUGAAGAAGAAGGAAGCUGACGAUUGGAACAGGUCCAACGAAGCUAACUGUUAUGUCUAUAGCAAGUAUUGAUGAAGAAGGAAGCUGACGAUUGGUAUAGGUCCAACGAAGCUGACUGGCGAGUUUUGCAGCACUGUUGUAGAAUUAGAGUCGCACUAGGAUUAGAUUACUUAUAUUAAUUAGGAGUAUAUUACGACUAGAAUUAUAUUAUGAUUAGAAUUAUAUUACGACUAGGAUUAGAUUAUUUAUAAUUACAUUAUUAUUAUUAUAGUAGUAAUAGGUAUUGUAGUAGGACUCUAAGUAUAGUUAACUUAGGACUCUACAAUUCUCUCCCUAUAUAAGGAGUAUGUACUCAACAAUUUUAUUCAUCAAUACAAUCCUUGAUUUCUCUAAUCCUAGACGUAAGAUUUCUACAAGGUAUCAGAGCAUAAAAGCUCUUCCUCUCUCUGAGUAUUGAUCAAAAAAAAAAUGCACGUUAGAUUGCAAUGACCACUUCUACCAAAACUAUGUCGACCUUCUCACUUCACCAACUUGUUGCCGCUUGCUUCAUUAAACUUAAGCCAACAAACUACCUCAUAUGGAGGACACAAAUAUCCCUAUUGAUUCAAAUGAUGAAACUAACAUAUCUGAACCAAGUAAAAGUAGUUGUUCCACUGGACAAACGGCUAGGAAAGUUGUAGCAGUUGAGAAGGAUGCAAAAAAUAGUGACAUCAUUGAUGAUUGGAAGGAGAAAGAUGUGUUGCUAAGGAGUUGGAUCUCAAGCACCUUGACCGAAGAAAGCAUGCAACUGAUUGUGGGCUGCUCAACUGCCAAAGAUGUGGGAAUGCAUGAAAAAAGAUUAUAUUCAAGCAACAAAAAUAAUUAAUUUUGCUAGAGGUUUAGGUCUCAAAUACAAGACCUUUGUCAUAUUAGGUAAGACAUCAUAUUCCACUCUUAAUCAAUUUUUUUAUGCUCUCACGAGUUUUGAUAUAAGGGAAGAUGAAGAAGAGGUGGCACAACAAAGCCAUAACAUGGUAUUCUCUACUCAAAAAAGCAGGGGAAGAGGAAACAACAACAUCAACUCCAAAGAAACAGGUUUCAAGCCUGCUGGACAGGGAACAGGUUCUAAGAACAGUCAAUAUGGACCAGGUUCUCUAAAUAAUAAAAGUUCUCAAAGUGAAAAUAAAGAAAGGAAUAAUAUUGAGUCAUGUCAAAUAUGUGGUAGGAUUAAUCAUAUUGCUCUUAAGUGUUUUUACUGGUGGAACUACUCGUAUCAAUCUGUAGAUGAACUACCACAAGCAACGACUAGACAUCACAUUCAUACUGAAGCAUUGACAAAACAAGUUUUUUGCUGGGUAUUCAAAGUUUUUUUUUUAUGGGUAUUCAAAGCAAGCUAGGAGUAACCGUUCCUCUACUCACUAGCUUGAGUAGAAGUGUUGAAGAAGAAGGAAGUUGACGAUUGGAACAUGUCAAAAGAACAAGUCCAACGAAGCUGAUUGUUAUGUCUACAACAAGUGUUGAUGAAGAAGGAAGUUGACGAUUGGAACAUGUCAAAGGAACAGGUCCAACGAAGCUAACUAGCGAGUUUACAACACUGUUGUAGAAUUAGAGUUGCACUAGGAUUAGAUUACUUAUAUUAAUUAGGAUUAUAUUACGACUAGAAUUAUAUUAUGAUUAGAUUAUAUUACGACUAGGAUUAGAUUAUUUAUAAUUGCAUUAUUAUUAUUAUAGUAGUAAUAGGUAUUGUAGUAGGACUCUAAGUAUAGUUAACUUAGGACUCUACAAUUCUCUCCCUAUAUAAGGAGUAUGUACACAACAAUUUUAUUCAUCAAUACAAUUCUUGAUUUCUCUAAUCCUAGACGUGAAAUUUCUACAUUGAGAACUUGAAAUUACACUAGAACUAUAUGACACUAUUUACGAAUAACAUUGAAAAUUUCUAAUAUCAAAAUUGUACCAUUUAAUAAUACUAACAUUGUACCAUAUAAUAUACCAACAAUUAUUGAAUUCUACCCCAUAUAAUAUACCAAUUUAGUUGAUAUUUCGUGUCAUUUUAUUUUUUCAAAUGAUAUUUUAUACCACAAGGGUAACCAACAUAAAUAAUAGAACUAAUUACAUCAUAUGAUUAAAUAUGAUUAUGGAAAAAAUGCUUAAUAAACAACGAAUAAAAUUCAUAUCCGCUAAUAUCAUUCAAUUAGAUUAUGAAAAAAAGUGUUGUGAAAAUAAAAAAUUAACUCAACAAUGCUAAUCCUCAUAUGGAUAUUUGGUACAAGUUUAGUUGUUGUGAUCCUCUAUAGGCUAUAACACAUUUUCUACAAUCUACUUUAGAUCUCUUGAAAAAAAAAAAUUCAAUUGCUAGUUGCGUCACAUAUCACUCCUUCAAUCUUGAAAUCCACAUACCUUCCUGGAAUGCAUUUCAAAAAAAAAAAAAAAAAACUACUAAACAACAGUUAUAACAAUCAAAUUUGAAAUACACAAUUAUAUUUUUUUAUAUCACCAAAAAAAAAAAAGUUAUAUACGAAAUGGUGUAUAAUAUGGUUAAAAAUUGGUGUCACUUCAUUAUUCUUAUAAUCAAAUUCAAACACCAACUUAUAACCAAACUGUAGGUAUAACAUUGAUUUAUGAAGAUUGAUAAAGUUGAACAUGAUUAUAUGUUACAAUCUAACCAUGCAUAACAGCAUAAUCUAAUCAAUUAUUUAUCAAUUUUUUAGUAUAAUCGAACUAAAAAACAUUAUGUAACGCUAGUUUUAAAAAAGAGUUAAUAAAUCGAAACAAUUUAUUUAGGCAAAAGUCUUAUUCUCAAUGAAAAUUAAUUUAUUUAUUAAGAAACAAUAGAAUUUUUAUUUUUAAAAAAAUGAAUUAUCACCAAGCAGAAACCAACAUCAGUAAAUUGAAAAAAAUGAAACUAUCACCAAGCAGAAAAUUACAGAAAAAAAAACAUUUUCUCAUUGAAACAACGUGGAUAAAUCUCAAAUUGAAUCAACACAAUAUUUAUCAAUAAAAAAGAAAUAUAUUUAAUUAAUUAAACAAAUAAUUUCGGAAGGUGAAAAAAAACAAAUAAUUUUGAAACAAUCAAAAAAAUAAAUUAAUAUUCAAAAUCGUUUUUAACCAAAAUAAUUUGUUUCAAAGAUAAAUUUUCAUAAUAAUUACCUCAUCCUUCGCCAUACUGAAUUAAAAUUGAAACGUUGUAAUUUUCGGGCAUUGAAAGAAUUAUUAGAGAAGAUAGAGAGUUUGAUUGUUGUUACUUGUUAGUAUACUAGUAUUGUGAUUAUGAGGGAGAGAGGGAGGGGAUUAUGUUAAUGGUUGAGAUAAUUGUGGAAGCAAAUAACAGAAUGAGAGCUAAUUAAGGGAUGAGAAUCUUAUAUAAUAAUUAUUUAUACGUUUUUUUUUGUAAUUCCUUUUUUUUAAUUCCCUUUUUUUCUUGAUUAUUUUGUGUUUUGUAAAAAUUUUAUUGCUAUGUUUGUGAAAAGUCAAACUAUUGUUAUAUAGGAGUUAUUUAUGUGCUUAAAUUGUACUAGUUUCACGGCACGUGCAUUGCACGUGUGUAUCGCAUAUAUAGUAUACAAUGUUGUAAAAUAGAAUUAAUAUUACUAAAUUAAUGUUUUUUAGUAAAUAAUUAUAAUUGAAAGAAUAUAGGACUAAUGUUUUUAAAUGAUUAAUACAUAUUGUUAUAGAUUUACUUGUAUUUUGAGAUCAUAUUGACCAGAUAUCAUUGAAACAUUUCAAAAUACAUUUAGAAUUUAAAUAUGGUGAGAAAGUGACAUUUUUUAGUAGUAUUAUUUUUACUUCACUCAAUUUUGUAAACAAAUCUAACAAACAAAUUUAUUUUUAAAAAAACAUCAAUAGCCUUUCUUCUUGAGGUUAUAAACAUAAAUGAUGGACACCAUUUAAGUAUAAUUAUUCUCUUAAAAAUUCAUACUUGAAAUUUAGUAUGUGCAUGACACUAUUACCAUAAAUAUUUCAAUAUUUUAUCUUUAUACGUAAUUUAUUUUUUAUAAAAUAUUAUUACUCAAUUAAUAUUUGAGUAAGAUUAUCAUAGAAAGGUAAUUUUACCCAAAAAAAAGGGUACUUUGUUGUUAUAACGAAUGAUGGUUAAAUAGAGGCUUGAGUGUAUGUCAAAUAUUUAACUUGACCAACACUUUGUUAUAUAUAUACAUUUUAGUACCAUAAUUUAAUUUAAUAUAUGAACAUCACCUUUGGUGAAAAAUAUUUCAUUUCAUUAAGUUUCUACCUUAUCUUUGUAGAAAUAUAGUCUUUUCAUUUUUUCUGCUGCAUACAUAUUAUCAUAUAGUUUUUUCUGCCGCAUACAUAUCAUAUAGAUUUAUAUCGUGAUUUAAAAUAUUUACCUUUUUCAAUAAUAAAAAUUAAUUGAUGAAUAAAAUUUAAAGUGUUAUUUAUAGAAUCCUUAAUUCUAUUUAUGAAUACUUUUUGACCAAUCACUAUUUUUUUAUCUAUUUUUAUAUAGCUAUCAAGGAGUAUAUCUUGUAACAUAACAUUUUCUAAAAUUAAAAUGAGCACAAAAUAACAGGAAAUUCAUACUUAAAAAAUUGCAUGCUCAAUAAAAUUAUAAAAAAAGAAAAAACAUAUGGAACAAUACAUAGCCAAUGAAGAAGGAAGACGAAAAUAUAUGUUCAUGCUACAUUCACUAUGUAUUAAAAAUAAUAUAAUUAUUAUCAUGAUUAUAUUAUCAUAUUAUAAGUAAAGGUGAAAAUCUAUUUUUGAAAUAGUGGAUAUAACAUCAAAACUAAUAAUUCAAUGGACUAUGUUGCUGCCGUUGUUUUAGUAAAAUUAAAAAGAAACUCCUUUGUUUUAGUGUGAAAGAAUAAAAAAUGAAAAAAUAAAGAUGAAAUAUCUUACCCAAAUGAUGUGUCUUUUUUCACAAUUGUUUAUUAUUAUUGUAUUUCCCACAACUUUUCUUCACUAUUAACUCAUGAAAAUCGUAAGAAAAAAUAUGAGUGUGAAUUGAUGAAUGAUUUGCUACAAUUUGUUCACGGACUCUUUCUCAUGUGGUACCUCGAAUUUAAUCAACUGUUCCAAAUAACCCUUGAGAUUUUUUAAGAAGAAGAAGAGUAGAAAACUUUAAAAAUCGUAGUUUAAAAGUGAGAGGAAACCCUCUAUUUAUAGCUAACAAAUAGUAGUAUGAAUAGGUGCUAAUUCUGCCUUAUCAGAAAAGUUACAACCUUUCGAAAAAGUCAUUGCUCAUCAAAAAAGUCACAACUCAUCAGAAAAGACACAACCCUUUGGAAAAGUCGCAACUCUUUUGAAAAAUCACAACCCUUCGAAAAAGUCACAAUUCAUCGAAAAAGUCACAACCCAUCAAAAAAGUCACAACCCUUUGAAAAAAUCACAACCCUUUAAUGUGAAAAGGUAUUUACUUUUAAUAUUAUUAAAUUAAUAAAUAAAAUAAAUUGAUUAUUUUUAAUUGGAGGUAUUAUAGUAAUUUAGCAUUCAAGUUUGGAAUUCAUGCUUUUAAGGUAGUAUAGAUAUAGAUAGAUAUUUAAGUUUUUUACCCUAUAUAAUAUAAUGCCCUCCACCCUCCCCUUGAGGAGUUAAUGAAUACGCAUUAAAGAAUCUUUCUUACAAGCAAUUGACCAACAGAUGCUACAUUCCACUUGAGUCUUGUUUGGGCAACAAACUUUCUCCCAUGAUACAAGUCGAAUACCUUCAUCACAAACACUUGUACUGAAUUCACCAAAAUUUAUACUUCACCACAAACUUUUGUAGGAAAUUUUCAUAGCUUAAGGAUAUUUCACCCGGUAUAGGUGUAUUUUCAGGAUUCAACAAGCUCUUCUAGUAUAAACGAGGAGCCAGAAAUUAAGAAAGAAAACCUAGCAUAACAAAGUAUAGACGGAGAAAUUACAAGAGAGAACUUUGUGCCUCUCUGUUCUCACAAAAUGAAAACAUGUUUUUUCUACUAUCCACAAUGGAUGAAGAACAUUAUAUAUUAGUAAUGUGACAUUUUCCUCCCUCAUUAUUGGAAAGGAUUAAUGGGAAUUAAUAUCAAUAGAGAAAAAGUAUUUAUGAUGGUAUUAAAGACUAUAGUCAAUCACCACUAUCAUGGACAAUGAAGAUUUUUUAAGGAGUGAAUAAUUUAGGACAUAAAAUAAUAUUUUCCUUCAAAUGGAAUAGGAGAUAGAAUAAUUCUUUAUGAGAUAUAUAAUACUCCAUAUUUUUCCAACAUUUUCUUAGUUAGGAAUUACAAAAUUAAGAUGCCACAUUUCACUACUUAUAUGUUAUGUAGUUAUCUAUGUGUAAAUAAUCUUCUCUUUAGACUAGAAUGAGUAUUUUUACGUUUCAUUAUGUAUUCCAUUACUUUGGACUGUGGAUUGCUAAUUUAAUUUGGUGUUGUAUCUUUCAAAUAUUGUUUGGUUGGCUUUGAUUGAAGAAACUAUACAUCGAUGAUAGUUGUUUAUGUGACGAGCAGUUAAGAAACUUCGACCUGUGAUGUUACAAUGCAACUCCACUGUCACAAUACAAUGGACUAGAAUGCAAAUUCCAAAUUGGGCAUAUAUACUAUGUAGUCCUAGUAAGUACUCUAUUUCAGUCAAACAUGAACUACAAGUUUCAUAAACCUCAACAACAAUUUGGUUCUCACUUGGAUCUUCAAUAAGACUAAAUCUAACAAUUAUCCAACCAGUUAUCAGACCACCGUUUGAGCUUGGCAUCGUGAAAUGUCAAAAGAACUUGUGAAGAAGUUGUAGGAAUAUUCAAAACCUUCUUUGAUGCCUCUUCUGAUGUCAGAGCAUAACCAGCACAAACAAUCCUAAAUUUUUCCAAUACCCGUGCAUUCUUCAGAAAAAACCUUAUUAGUUCUAUCUCGUUUUCUUCAUCUUUGAAACCAAUCAACUGAAUCGAUUUUAGAUGAGAGUCCAAGCACACAAUGCUUUCUUCAGGAUCAUGCAUCUGCCAACAAUUAAAAAUGUUGUGUUUCAGAUCUGAAACUUGCAAUCCCAAAGGUGACUUUUCAACUCCCCAGUCUCUAGUCUUGUGUUUAGGGGACUCAAAAUCUAUAUAAACAUAACAAGUAGAGAAUUACUUACUACCUUAUAUGUACAUUGUAAUUUUUUACCAAGGGGGGUCGGGUGUAAAACCUUAUCCCCCCGGCCUUGAUCUUCCCGUACCUGCCAAUAGUCACACCAUUCUUGAUACUUUAAAUAAUUCUCCCUCCAUUCUCCAUCCUAGAAGACAAUUGAGAGUCAGAAGAGAAAUCAAACACUUGUAUUGAAACAACUAUAAAUCUGAAUAAGCAGCAAUCACUCAACAACACAAGUAACUAUUUCAAGUGAAAAUGCCAAACAGGAUUCACUUUCAAGUGUCACUGAUUCAUAAAAAAUCCAAGUGAUCUGUUUGUAUUGCAGUCUGAUACCUACAAUUCAAACCAAACCAAGCCAUCCAUCCAAUCAACAUGUUAUUCAUCUCAGACUUUCAUUACAUCACUUCACAGAUGAAGUGCCUUACCUCAUCGCACCACAAUUUUAAAACCUCGAGGUUAGGCGAAUACUUGAGCAAUCGUAUCAUAACUUGCAUACAAUCUUCAUCAACUCCCAAUUUCAGUUUUAAGGACUUGAGCUUAUUAAAGCAGAUGGGAGAGAGGCAAGCCUCUUUAUACAAACCCUACAACACCAAAAGAAAAUACAAAAAAUGAGAAAAUUAAGAAUCUAUGUGCUUAUUAAAUCCAAAGAAAACAAAACUUUACCUUAAGAGAAGCCUUGCAUAGUUUCAGAAGUGAUAUAGAAGGGGCUUCCUUGAUCAUCUUAUGCACAAGAAUUCCAAUUUUCUCAUCACAAUUUCUAUCAUAAUCAUCAAAAUUGAUGUUAACAUGUUCUAUUGAAAAGAGAUUGUUGAUUACUAUAUCCUUUGGCAUAGGAGAUUUAUAUGUUAAGAAUUUGAGAGCAGGACAAGAAAUUUUGAUUUCACAAUUGUCAUAAUAGUUGCCCUCAUCAAAAGUAAGGUAUAAAAGAGAUUUCGAAGCAAUAUAAAGCAGGUUCAUAUGUUGUAAAUUGCAAUCACAUAAUUCCAAUUUUUCAAGGAGUAGACAUUCUGAGAAGAAGCAACUUGUCAAAUGUCCAUCUAAUAACUCAACAUUGCACAGAUGAAGCAAUUUCAGCUGACGAAAUCCGCCCAAAUGAUUAUGAUUAGGCAGUUUAAGUAUAUAUCCACACAAAUUUAGUUUCAAAACAUGUAAAGAUUCACAAGUUACAAGACAAUGCGGUAACUCAAAUGGCUCACAAGGCGAAAACCACAACACAAGUUGUUCAACAUUUCUUCUUGUUGCUGCAUCAAUAAAACGCAAUAUAUCUGUGCUUUCAAACAUAUUGCUACAUGAGAGGAUAAAACGGACAAGGCUAAUCGUUUUAUGGGAAAUUAAAAAGGUAUCGAUAAAUUCUUUGAAUUCCUCAAAAUCUGGAUCUGAAUCAGAGAAAUUACUAUCAAAGCGGAAGUAGGGGAUGGUAGUGCAUAUGUUUUUCCAUCUUUUGGACAAUACAGUCAUAUGAAUCACAUCAAAAAUACAGAGAUUUGA